UAGAGCUUUCAGAAGAGGCCAAUGGGACCACCCAUCCGAUUCUUUUGGAAAUAGUGGAGUAAGGACUGGGGCUUCCUUGUAAACAUGGCUUUUGCUGAGCUGGCAAAGGCAGAUGUAGAGAAAGAGGAAGGAAGAAAAAAGGCAGGCACUGGAGAGCCGUUCCCCUGGCCCGCAUCUGCUUUGUGAAGGCUCACCUACUCUUUAAGACUCAUUUCAAAGCUCAGCUCCUCUGUGAAGGUGACCUCUCUAGGUGUGGCUGGCGGCUUCUUCAUCCAUGGUCCCAGUACAGGGUCCACAUUGAAUCAUAGCUUCCAUUAUACUGGGUUACGACCAUGAGUUCCUGUGGACACUACCACGGUCUUUGUACCACUGAGCCUGGCAGGAGUACUUGGCAGAGUAGUCCCUGAUAUGGUGGGGGAAUGAAUAAAUCAAUGAACGGAUGAUUAAAUGAGCAGAACCCAAACUGAGGAUGUCUGGGCACCUGGGUGGACAACCUCAAUUUCCUACCUAGGGUACCAGUUAAACAUUUAAUGACAAAUUUUUUAGAUAACGCAACUUUAAUUGCUAAAGACUGUUGCUGGGGGCUGCUGUGGACAUGCAUGUUGCCCUCCCCGACCCCCAGCCUUGACAACAUGUAGCCAGACCCCUCAGACUCUGCCCAGCCACGCUAGCCAACUCCAGCCUGCUCCUCCAGGGCAAUCCUCCUACUGAGUAGCUGCCUGCCUGGGCUGGGCUGGGCUCAUCUGCGUGGACCCUGCCUCUGGGAGUCAUGGCAUCAUCAGACAGGCCCAGGGAAGGUGAGGAUGAUGGGACUGAGGGAGGAAUGGAUGCCCCUGGGGGAGGUCCGGGCCUUCAGCUGGCAUGGAGGCCAGGCACACAGAUGGCUUGCAGGAGCAGGGCAACUCGGAUCCUUCAGAAAGCCUGUUUGGAAGGCCUGGGGACAGUGGCAGCUUUCUCUCCAUGGCAGUUUUCACGUCAGUGCUAUGUUUCUAGAACAACUGAGAAAUUGGAAGGUGGAGGAAGCUGAGAAGAAACUCCCAGGUCCCAGGACAGCGCUGGGUAUGAGGAUGCGUGUCUGCCUGCAUUUUCCCAGGCUCCGGGGGCCCACAGACUUCUUCAUGCUCUGCUCGGAGCCCUUGGAUGCAGCAACAGCUGUGGUUCUCUUUGAGUUUGCCCACCGGCCCCAGUGAGGAUUCACUUCCCUGAGUAUCUCAAAGGGGCCCCUUUAUCUGGUCCCUUGAGACCAGGACAUUCUGCAGGACGCUCGAGCCACGCAACCUCCAUAAGUCCCUUGGAGUUCUUGGGGGACUUGAUGCUAGUUCUCCUCGCUCCUGGAAUUCUGGAGAAUCUUUAAAAAUACAUCUACUUCCAUUUCCUCAAUAUAAAAAUAAAAUAAAAGGAAAUCCGCCCCCACCAGCCUGUGACCAAACAAGAACAGUGAGGCCUGGUCACAGCUGGCAGCACGGACACCCGCGGCGCGGCCGCUCUCCACAUCCACGGCACCCGCGGGAGGCCUGAGAGACAGCGGGAUGCUCGCAAUGCCCACAGAACAUCUUGCCGCUAGAGAUAGUCCAGGCACCCCAGCGAAAAGUGCUAUCAUCCCUGGACAGCAGUGGUGUCACCUGGGCUGCCAGGUGGCUGCCCAUUCUGGGCUAGUUUCCAAGUCCAGGUCAGAGGAGCAGGAAUUCCCAGGUGAGCUUCAGGCCCUUCCCUGGGCUCUGCCUCCUCCAUCCAUCACGGACACUCCUGUAGGGACCUCCGCGGUGCCCAGACUGUUAUCUCCAGGUGAUUUCCAGCCUGGGCUUUGGGAAGAGCUAACAGUUCUCCUGGUUUCUUAAGACCUUGGGAGAACAGCAGCACACACACGCACACACACACGCACGCACACACACACACACGUGCACACACACGCACGCACACACAUGCACGCACGCGCGCACACACACACGUGCAUAUUCACAGAAGCAGCAGACAGUGGAGGUGGCAGUAACAAAGGUGUCUGGUGGCCUUUAGCCCAGAUGAUGUUGCCAAUGGCCCAGUCACUUUGGCAGAGUCUUUCCAGCAGCCAGAGCUGAGUGGAAGAGUAGGACAGCUGCUUAGGAUUUCCGGAAGCGCACCUCAUUCUGAGGAAGAACAGAGGGAGAAGAGGGUGAGGUCGGGCUAGGAACACAGACGCUGAAGGCGGGGGUUCAGAG
Long non-coding RNA from Equus caballus (horse), 2195 nucleotides. The record is from Ensembl. NCBI's taxonomy places the organism in Eukaryota, Metazoa, Chordata, Mammalia, Perissodactyla, Equidae.